CGUUCUGGUGCUGCUGCCCGGACGGCGGCCUGGUGCUUCUCCUUGAGCGGUGUUGCCGGAGAUGGAGGUGCAUUGAAGGCUUGGCAAGUAACGGUCAUUCGACGAGGGUCGUGACAGUCUCGCAAGCAGCAAGGAUUUGGUCGGGGCGUUUUGUCUACCGCAGUGAUGGAGGCGCUUAUUCCGGUCAUUAACAAGCUGCAGGAAGUGUUUAACACGGUGGGAGCGGAUAUCAUCCAACUGCCGCAGAUCGUGGUAGUGGGGACACAGAGCAGUGGAAAAAGCUCUGUGCUGGAGAGUCUAGUAGGACGGGACUUACUUCCCAGAGGUACUGGCAUUGUGACUCGAAGACCUUUGGUUCUGCAGCUAGUGAAUAUUUCUCCAGAGGAACAACGGAAAGCAAAGGGUGAUGAUGAUGGAAUAGAUGCAGAAGAAUGGGGAAAAUUUCUUCACACAAAAAAUAAGAUCUACACAGAUUUUGAUGAAAUUAGACAAGAAAUAGAAACUGAAACGGAAAGAAUUUCCGGUGGCAAUAAGGGAAUUAGUGAUGAGCCAAUUCACCUCCGAAUCUUCUCACCUCAUGUUGUUAACCUUACACUUGUUGACCUUCCUGGAAUAACAAAAGUGCCCGUGGGUGAUCAGCCUCGAGAUAUUGAACUACAGAUAAAAGAUCUCAUUCUACGGUAUAUCAGCAACCCAAACUCGAUUAUUUUAUCUGUUACUGCUGCCAAUACUGACAUGGCAACAUCAGAAUCACUUAAAAUUGCCAGAGAAGCUGAUCCAGAAGGGCGACGAACACUUGCUGUUAUCACAAAGUUAGAUCUUAUGGAUGCUGGCACAGAUGCUAUGGAUGUGCUUAUGGGAAGAGUUAUCCCAGUCAAGCUGGGUAUCAUUGGAAUUGUCAACAGGAGUCAACUGGAUAUCAACAAUAAGAAAUCUGUGGCAGAUGCUUUAAAGGAUGAAUAUGCAUUUCUACAAAAGAAAUAUCCCUCACUUGCUAACAGAAAUGGAACCAAAUAUCUAGCUAAAACUUUGAACAGAUUGCUCAUGCAUCAUAUCAGAGAUUGCUUGCCAGAGCUGAAAACUAGGAUAAAUGUAUUGGCAGCUCAGUACCAGUCUUUACUGAACAGUUAUGGUGAACCAGUCGAGGACAAAAGUGCCACUCUUUUGCAGCUUAUUACCAAGUUUGCAGCUGAGUAUUGCCAGACAAUUGAGGGAACAGCAAAAUACAUUGAAACUUCAGAACUUUGUGGUGGAGCAAGAAUAUGCUACAUUUUUCAUGAAACGUUUGGACGUACUUUGGAAUCUGUAGAUGCACUGGGUGGACUCAAUACUAUUGACAUUCUCACUGCAAUCAGAAAUGCUACUGGUCCACGUCCAGCACUUUUUGUUCCCGAAAUCUCUUUUGAGUUGUUAGUGAAGCGACAGAUUAAACGUCUGGAAGAACCAAGCUUGCGGUGUGUUGAACUGGUCCAUGAAGAAAUGCAAAGGAUUAUACAGCACUGCAGCACAUACAGCACACAGGAAUUGCUCCGUUUUCCAAAACUCCAUGAUGCCAUUGUAGAAGUUGUGACAUCAUUGUUGCGCAGGAGAUUGCCUGUUACCAAUGAUAUGGUCCACAAUUUAGUAGCCAUUGAGCUUGCAUACAUCAAUACAAAGCACCCUGACUUUGCAGAUGCCUGUGGGGUUUUGAAUAGUAAUAUAGAGGAACAAAGACGUAACCGGUUAGCAAGGGAGCCACCUGGAGCUUUGUCUCGAGAAAAGCCUUCUAAAGUUUCCAGUGCUAUAUCAGCUCCUUCCCAGGAGUCUUCUGCUGAGCUGGAGGGGAAGCCUUUAAAUAAGGAAGUUCAAUUACAGAAUGGGAAUCAGGAUGGAGCAUCAGCUGGAAACUGGAGAGGGAUGUUGAAAAUCUCAUCCACGUCAAAGCCCGAUGAAGGAUCAUCUGAUGAAAAGCCAAAGCAGCCUGCUGCCGGCAGUCCUCACAAGGGACCAUCUGUAAAUUUCCUUGAUGUGCGUGUUCCUGUUUCACGUAAACUUUCAGCACGGGAGCAACGAGAUUGUGAAGUGAUUGAAAGAUUGAUUAAAUCCUACUUUUUGAUCGUGAGAAAAAAUAUCCAGGACAGUGUGCCAAAAGCUGUAAUGAAUUUCCUAGUUAAUUAUGUGAAAGACAAUCUUCAAAGUGAACUUGUUGGUCAACUGUACAAGUCAAUGCUGUUAGAAGACCUUCUUACUGAGUCUGAGGACAUGGCCCAGCGCCGGAAGGAAGCUGCAGACAUGCUGAAGGCCUUGCAACGAGCCAGUCAGGUUAUUGCAGAAAUACGAGAAACACAUCUGUGGUGAAGCCUAUUGCCACAUAUCCUAAAGUUUGCCUAAGAGGACACGGCAAUUACUUGAAUGUUGCUGAAUUGAAAAAUGCACUGUUUAUUUGCUUAACAUGUUUUAAAAAAUAUAUAUUUAUGAACUGUUGGCUCUGGUACUGAAGAAACUAUAGAAACCUAAUGCCAUAAAAUGUCUUUUUUUGUAGUUGUUCCUAUUGUGUAAUAUUGGCUCAUAGUUUUUGUGGUGAUAGAAAACAUUGUAAGUUUAACUUGGAAAAUAGAAACCUUUGGAAUCUUGUGCCUCCAAUCCUCUCAUGUUUCCUUGUUAUGUAGGUAGUGAUUUCCUAUUAAGUUUUAUAUUGUCUCAAAAAUACUUAAAACAACUACUCAUUUGCCCAUGAAACACUUAAAAAUUUCCACUUUACUUUCAGAAUAGUCUGUUUAGAGAUUGAAAUAAUUUAAAUUUUUACCCUGUUGUUGAGAGCAAAGGACCAAAUGCCACCUUUAUGAACAUUUCUUGCUGAUUUACAAACCUGAAGACCUAGCAAAUUCUAACAUCUUUCCCAUUAUGUUCAUGAAGAAGGAGAAAUGGACCCUCUGGAAUGAGAGCUGAUGCUGGGACCAGGUCAUAAGCAGCAGACCAUCACAGCAGGAGUUGAAGGGAGCAACUAGCAGAAAAGGUUAAUUAUGAGAAGUCCAGGACAGCUGGAGAAGGCUAGUUAUGUACUGAAGUACAUUACCUCAAGGUGGCACCAUGUAUGCAAAUUUAUCACAAGUGACAAGAAAUUUCACACCUGACUGGAAGAUACAACUGAUUAUAGUAGCUCUACAGUUAAAACUUGCUCUAGAAGGAAAAAUUUUUCAUGUUAAGUGGGGGAAAAAAUACUUUGUUGCAGUAGAUAUUUAUAAAAUGAACAAUUAUAACAUGAAAAUAAUACUUCACAACUGAUUUUUGACCUGAUGUCAACAGAAAUAUUUUCAGUAUGGUUUUCUAGGUAAUCAGCAGUGCUGGGUGUAACUGGUAACUGAAACCAAUUCAAUUACCACAUUCAGGGAACUGAAACUGGGAUCUUCCUAUGCUUGUGAUUGUAUUGAGCAAAUUGUAUUUAACAAAAGAUUGUGGGAACAAGGUAAUGCAUGGCUAUUAAGUGAAUAUUAUUUGUAUUAAUUUAGUUCUGCUCAUUUCUGUUAAUUAGAUAAUUGUGUUCAUAAUAAAUCACUGUAACAGUCUCAUCAUCUUUGUGCUCGUAGGGUUUUGAUGGUAUAUCAAGGAGAAAGUUUCCUGUUGGCUUGCACCAAGACUUACAUGGCUUGAAUGUGUUUCAUUUCAUUAACCUGUAUGUAAUACUGUAAAGCAUUGCAGAAGAAUGUUGACAAUGAAAAUCUCAACUAACAAAUUUUAAACAUUGGUGUUGCAUGUGUUGAGUAUUGUUUUUGUUUUAAUUUGUACAUGUUACCAUUUGUACUUUGGUAUAUGUACCACACAACCACAGACAUUUAAUCAAGGUUUUCAUUAAGGCACAUGAAC
Molecule: RNA transcript, 3843 nt
Organism: Hypanus sabinus (Atlantic stingray)
Lineage: Eukaryota; Metazoa; Chordata; Chondrichthyes; Myliobatiformes; Dasyatidae
Gene: dnm1l
Gene name: dynamin 1-like
Exons: 20
Source: RefSeq, a predicted model, not a curated record